CAGUUCGGAUUGUAGUCUGCAACCCGACUACAUGAAGCUGGAAUCGCUAGUAAUCGCGGAUCAGAAUGCCGCGGUGAAUACGUUCCCGGGUCUUGUACACACCGCCCGUCACACCAUGGGAGUCGGAAAUGCCCGAAGUCAGUGACCUAACCGAAAGGAAGGAGCUGCCGAAGGUGGAGCCGGUAACUGGGGUGAAGUCGUAACAAGGUAUC
RNAcentral lists this ribosomal RNA (212 nucleotides) under uncultured bacterium. Its description in RNAcentral is "partial 16S ribosomal RNA". It matches the Rfam family "Bacterial small subunit ribosomal RNA", at positions 1289 to 1500 of the family's 1533-position model. The record is from RNAcentral.